UACGUAGGGGGCAAGCGUUAUCCGGAUUUACUGGGUGUAAAGGGGGCGCAGACGGCGAUGCAAGCCAGGAGUGAAAGCCCGGGGCCCAACCCCGGGACUGCUCUUGGAACUGCGUGGCUGGAGUGCAGGAGGGGCAGGCGGAAUUCCUGGUGUAGCGGUGAAAUGCGUAGAUAUCAGGAGGAACACCGGUGGCGAAGGCGGGUCUCUGGGCAGUAACUGACGCUGAGGAGCGAAAGCGUGGGGAGCGAACAGG
Molecule: ribosomal RNA, 253 nt
Filed under: uncultured bacterium
Lineage: Bacteria
Description: partial 16S ribosomal RNA
Rfam family: Bacterial small subunit ribosomal RNA
Source: RNAcentral